GGGGAAUAUUGCACAAUGGGCGGAAGCCUGAUGCAGCGACGCCGCGUGAGGGAUGACGGCCUUCGGGUUGUAAACCUCUUUCAGCAGGGACGAAGCGCAAGUGACGGUACCUGCAGAAGAAGCACCGGCUAACUACGUGCCAGCAGCCGCGGUAAUACGUAGGGUGCGAGCGUUGUCCGGAAUUACUGGGCGUAAAGAGUUCGUAGGCGGUUUGUCACGUCGUGUGUGAAAUCCCACAGCUUAACUGUGGGCUUGCAGGCGAUACGGGCAGACUUGAGUACUGCAGGGGAGACUGGAAUUCCUGGUGUAGCGGUGAAAUGCGCAGAUAUCGGGAGGAACACCGGUGGCGAAGGCGGGUCUCUGGGCAGUAACUGACGCUGAGGAACGAAAGCGUGGGGAGCAAAC
Molecule: ribosomal RNA, 405 nt
Filed under: uncultured bacterium
Lineage: Bacteria
Description: bacterial SSU rRNA
Rfam family: Bacterial small subunit ribosomal RNA
Source: RNAcentral